Molecule: ribosomal RNA, 253 nt
Filed under: uncultured bacterium
Lineage: Bacteria
Description: partial 16S ribosomal RNA
Rfam family: Bacterial small subunit ribosomal RNA
Source: RNAcentral
UACGUAGGGUGCAAGCGUUGUCCGGAAUUAUUGGGCGUAAAGAGCUCGUAGGCGGUUUGUCGCGUCUGCUGUGAAAACUCGGGGCUUAACUCCGGGCCUGCAGUGGGUACGGGCAGACUAGAGUGCGGUAGGGGAGACUGGAAUUCCUGGUGUAGCGGUGAAAUGCGCAGAUAUCAGGAGGAGCACCGGUGGCGAAGGCGGGUCUCUGGGCCGUAACUGACGCUGAGGAGCGAAAGCGUGGGGAGCGAACAGG